Long non-coding RNA from Loxodonta africana (African savanna elephant), 4575 nucleotides. RefSeq lists it as uncharacterized. The record is from RefSeq and is a predicted model, not a curated record. NCBI's taxonomy places the organism in Eukaryota, Metazoa, Chordata, Mammalia, Proboscidea, Elephantidae. The transcript is spliced from 3 exons.
UAGCUGUGUGGUAGGUGCAAGAAUCAACCUGGGUUAAUCGCCUGAUUCCCAGCCCAGUCCUCUUGUGAACAUUAUGCUGUCUUCACUGGAAUCCAGCAUCUAUUAAUAUGCAUUCAUGCCCUAGGAUGUGUAUACAUACACUUCAUGCUUCUCUAUUGUCUGUAAAGAUAAAUGUAUUGGUGCAAGAUUAAAGGAAGUGGUUCAGUCAGAGAAUGGGUAGGCAGGAAAUUUAACCAUUAUUUUUAAGAUAAAAGACAAGGCAUACACGACAAGUAGAAGGUAUUUUAAGUGAUGAAGGUCAUCAAGAGCUCAUGUUCUGUCAACAACACAUUUGAACAAGCUACAAGGAGUCCUUGGGCAGUGCAAAUGAUAAAACAUGCUCGGCUGCUAACCAAAAGUUCGGAGAUUUGAGUCCAACUGGAGGGACCUCAGAUGACAGGCCUGACGAUCUACUUCUGAAAAAAUCAGCUAUUGAAAACGCUACAGAGCACAGUUGUGCUCCAACACACACAGGAUCCCCACUAGUCACAAUCAACUGGAUGGGUAAUUGUAGAACCGAAACUCUGCAAUUUGGAUGCCUUUCCAGACAGCAUUACUGAUCGUAAUAGUGGUAAGAAAAUUUUUUUAAUAGGCAUUAAAAACACAGUUUAUGGUUGUUGACCACCUGGUAAAGUAACAUAUUUAUUUUUUACUUCAAAAUUAUUGAGUUCUAAUUUACAUGCAAUGAAAUGCCCAGUUUUUAGUGUAUAGCUCUACGAGUUUUGACAGAUACACCCAUGUAACAGUCAUGUAAAACACCAUGUAGAAUAUUUCCUUUGCCGCAGAAAGUUACUGAUUUCUAAUUUAUUUCUAUUUUUAUAAAAGAACAGGAUCUGUAUGUUUUAGAACUUUGAAAUUUGUUCAGCCUUUUUUUUUAAUGACUCAUCAUAUGGCCUACCUUGGUAAAUAUGUGCAUGUGAAAAAAAUAUGUAUUCUGCUAGUUGGUUGUAGUAUUCUAUAAAUACCAAUUGAGUUAAAUUGGUUGAUUAUAUUGUUUGUGUUUAAUACGUCCUUCCUGACUUUUUGUAUCUGGUUGUCUACUAAUUAUGAGAGAGGAAUAUUGAAAUCUCCAAAGAUAAUUGUCUAUUUCUACCUUUGUUUCACCAACUUUUGCUAGAUUUAUUUGAAAGCGCUGUUAUUGGAAAUACAUAUAAUUAGGAUUGUUAUGUCUUCCUAAUUAAUUGAUCAAUUAUCAUUAUAAAAUGACUCUUUAAUAAUUUUUCUUCCUUCUAACUCUAUUUUUUUUAUAUGGACAUAACACUUCGGGUCCCCUUGACUUGGAAUUGACCAGAUGGCAACUGGUUUGGUACAUAAUAAUACCAGCUUUCUUAUAUUACUGUUUGCAUGUUUAUUUUUUCAAACUUUUAUGUCAACUUCUCUGCAUCUUUAUAUUUAAACAACAUAUAUUAUAAAAUAUAGUUAGAUCUGGAUUUUUUAAUUCAGUCUGAUUUUAUCUUUUUAUUUUUUUCCCCCAAUUUUUGGCUAAUCUAGUGCUAUUUUAUUACAGCUCUUUUUUUUCAGUUCUUAUCUUUGUAUUAUUUUUGUCUGUGUGUGGUUGCUCUAGGUAUCUCAAAGCUCAUCCUUUUUUUUGUCAGAUUAUAUCAUGAAUUAAUAUUAAUACCAUGUCAUAUAUCAUGUAAAAAUGUUACAAAGGAAAAUUUCGUUUGUACUUCCUUCCAUUCCGUGUACUUCUGUUGCAUAUAUUUUAAUUCUACGUAUGUUCUAAAUUCCAUAAUACAUAUAUAUUUCAAAGAAUUUAAGAAAAAAUAUGUAUGUGCAUUUCUCUUGAUAAAUGUUUUUUCUUGAUGAUAGAUCACGUGUUCCUAUUUCUCUAUAGGUCUAGUUUUUUGUUUUUUGUUUUAAAUUGGGUCCUGAACAUCAUGAAUUACGUAUUACAGAUUCUGCUUUCUUCAUUUGGACAGAAUUGAGGUUUAUUCUAGCAGGCAGUUAAGAUUACUGAAAAGUCAUCUUGUUCUUGUGGAUGUUGAAUGUUCUUAUGGAUCCUUAAUAUUAGGUUUUGAAAGUUUCGGUCUUUUUUAUAUUUGCCUUUGGAUCUGGAUGAAUUUCUUAGUCCUAAAACUAAUAAGAUGUGGCCCUUCUGGGAUAUAAUGUAAAGUCCAAAAUGUUUUGCAAGCUCUGCUAACUCGAUAGGAUUAAACUCAAAAUUCUGUUGUCUAUGUGGUAAAUAGCUGCUGAAAUCUAUGUUCUUUCAGUUGUCCAGCUGUUGUCUUCCCCUCAGGUUCCUUGGAGUCUAUCCGCGUUAGUGCACAGUUUAGGAGCCAGGGAAGGAUUAGAAAAUAGCUUAUAAACAGAUUUUGGAGCUUUCCCUUGUUUUUAGAAUUUCCACCAUCAGCUUCCAAUUAUUCUAGUAGACUCAAUCUCCUUUUUCUUUUCACCCUACUAACACUACGGAUCUCUGUUUAAGCUUUAUUUGCCCAUCAUCCACAUGAGCACUCCCAUGGGAAAUGAAGGCUAUAUAAUUUGUGGAUCUCAUCAAGUAUGUUAACUUUAUUUCAAGGGUCGAAUUUCCUCUGCCUUCUGCCUCCUCUCAGUUACUCUCCAAUAUCUUCAGAGAUCUGGAUUUUAUAUUUUUCUAAAGUUUAUAAUUUUUAUCAGCAGGAAGACUAAUUUGAUGCAAGCUCUUCUGUCAUAAUGGAAGGUGGAAGCAUCUUGAGUUAAAAAAAAAUCAUGUUGAAAUAAUUUCAGAUUCACAGGAAGUUUCAAAAAUAGUACUGAGAGGUCCCAGGUACCCUUUACCCAGUUUCCACCAUGGUUACAUUUUACGUAACUAUGGGACAGUAUCAAAACCAGGAAAUGCACAUUGGUAAGUGUGUGUAUAAUCCUUUGCAAUGUUAUCCCAUGUGAAAACUUGCAUAACCACCACUGCGACCAGGAUACAGAGCUAUGCCACCACCAAACACCUACUUUGUGCUACCCCUUCCCUUCUAUCCCUGUGCCCUAACUAUUCUUAACCUCUGGCAACCAUUAAUCUCUUUCGAUCUUUAUAAUUUUGGGACUGCUAUUUUUUUUUAUAUAAAUAGAUUCAUAUAGUAUGUCAUCUUUUGAGAUUUUAUUUGUUUUACUCAGUAUAAUUGCUUUUAGAAUCAUCCAAGUUGUGUAUAUCAAUAGAUUGUUCUUUUUACUGCCAAAGAGUAUUCCAUCGUAUGAAUAUGCAACAGUUUCUUGAACCGUUCACAUAUUAAGGGAUAUUUUGGUUGUUUACAGAUUUUUGUUGUGCAAAUAAAGCUACAGUGAACAUUCAUGUAUAGGCUUUUGUUUAAGUAUAUAUUUUCAUUUCUUUGGAUAAAAUGCCCAGCAGAGUCACAUGGUAAGUGUAUGUUUAAUUUUAUAGAGAGACUGCCAAAGUAUUAUUUGGAAUGGCUGUACUAUUUUACGUUCCCAUUAGCAAUGUAUGAGAUACCAUUUCAUUGCAUCCUUGCCAACAUCUCAUGUAGUCAUUAUUUUGUUAGUUUCUAAUAUGUGUUUUGUGAUGUCUCAUCAUGGUCUACUUUGCAUUACCCUAAUAACCGUUGAUGUUGAAAUAUUUUUAUGCUUUUAUUUUCCUCCAUAUAUCCUCAUUAGUAAAAUAUCUUUCAGUGUCCCUUGCUGAUUUUCUACUUGGACUGUUUUUUAAGAGUUGAAUAUUGUGGGUCAUUUAUAGAUUCUGAAGGAUCCCUGGUGGCACAGUCGUUAAGCACUCAGCUGUUAACCAAAAGAUUGGUAGUUUGAACCCACCAGCCUCUCCACAGGAGAAAGAUGUGGCAUUCUGCUUCAGUAAAAAUUUAAAGCCUUGGAAACUGUAUGGGGCAGUUUUACUCUGCUAUGAGUUGAAAUUGACUCAAUGGCAGCAAGCUUGCUUUGGUUUUUUGAUUUAUAGAUUCUAGAUGUGAGUCCUUUCUUAGACGUGUGGUUUGAAUUUUUUUUUCUCAGUUUUUUCGUCAUCUUAAUGAAGUCUUUCACAGAACAGAAGUUUUUAAUUUUAAUGAAGUACAAUUAGUUGAUUUUUUCUUUUAUGAAUUGUGCUUUAGGUAAUGUCUAAAAACUCUUCACCAAGCACUAGUUCUUGAAGAUUUUCUCAUUUGUUUUCUUCUAAAUGUUUUAGAGUUUUAUAUUUUACAUUUAAAUCUAUGACCCAUUAUGAGUUAAAUUUGUAUAUAGUAUGAGGUUCUUCUUCCUCCUCUCCACCAUAGCAUAUAAGGCAAAGACUACCCUUCUUCUACUGAAUUACAUUUAUGUCAAAAAUCAGUUGGCUAUACUUGUAUGAAUUUAUUUCUGGACUCUCUGUUUUGUUCCAUUGAUUUAUGUAUUUAUUUCUCUGUCAGUAUGACAGGAUUUUUUUUUUUACUUUUUAAAAUUUUAUGUAUUUUGUUGUUAUUGUUGAGAAUAUACACAGCAAAACAUAAACAAUUCUACAGUUUCUACAAGUACCACUUAGUGACAUUGAUAACAUUCUUCAAGUUAUGCAACCAUUCUCACCCUCCUUUCCUGACUUGUUCCUUCCCCAUUAAUAUAAAUUCACCAUCCCUCAAGGUUCUG